RNAcentral lists this long non-coding RNA (441 nucleotides) under Panicum hallii. Its description in RNAcentral is "long non-coding RNA (PHAL_LNC000723)". The record is from RNAcentral. Lineage: Eukaryota; Viridiplantae; Streptophyta; Magnoliopsida; Poales; Poaceae.
CUUUUUUAUUCUAUAGCAACACAAAAGUCCAAUCGAAUAAAUAAAAAGUUCAAAUCAAUCACCGCUAGCUGGAUUAGCAAAGGCACAAGAGGCUCCACGCUCCAUUCAACCUACCCAUCAACAUGGCUGAUACAAAGCUGCAGUGCUGGAAGCCCGCAUGCCUAUUUAGAGCUGCUAUGACUUGACAUGGAUCUCAAGUGCUGGCGGCCGGACGCAGCAGCUGACCAGACGCAUGCAGUAGCCGCCCCCCCCACCGGACACAGCGGCCAGCAGAACAUGCCUCUCGAAGAUCCGUGGACUUGCGGCCAACACCGGCGAUGGUGGUGUGGGGCUGCUGCCGCGUAGUCGUUGGCCGAGAUACGCCGCCGGAUGUUGCUGCGUGAAGACGGGUGGGGGCUCCGGAGGAGCAAAGAGGCUGACCCAGAGAGAAAGGGAAAGGAG